UAGAGUUUGAUUAUGGCUCAGGAUGAACGCUGGCGGCGUGCCUAAUACAUGCAAGUCGAGCGAACAGACGAGGAGCUUGCUCCUCUGACGUUAGCGGCGGACGGGUGAGUAACACGUGGAUAACCUACCUAUAAGACUGGGAUAACUUCGGGAAACCGGAGCUAAUACCGGAUAAUAUAUUGAACCGCAUGGUUCAAUAGUGAAAGACGGUUUUGCUGUCACUUAUAGAUGGAUCCGCGCCGCAUUAGCUAGUUGGUAAGGUAACGGCUUACCAAGGCAACGAUGCGUAGCCGACCUGAGAGGGUGAUCGGCCACACUGGAACUGAGACACGGUCCAGACUCCUACGGGAGGCAGCAGUAGGGAAUCUUCUGCAAUGGGCGAAAGCCUGACGGAGCAACGCCGCGUGAGUGAUGAAGGUCUUCGGAUCGUAAAACUCUGUUAUUAGGGAAGAACAAAUGUGUAAGUAACUAUGCACGUCUUGACGGUACCUAAUCAGAAAGCCACGGCUAACUACGUGCCAGCAGCCGCGGUAAUACGUAGGUGGCAAGCGUUAUCCGGAAUUAUUGGGCGUAAAGCGCGCGUAGGCGGUUUUUUAAGUCUGAUGUGAAAGCCCACGGCUCAACCGUGGAGGGUCAUUGGAAACUGGAAAACUUGAGUGCAGAAGAGGAAAGUGGAAUUCCAUGUGUAGCGGUGAAAUGCGCAGAGAUAUGGAGGAACACCAGUGGCGAAGGCGACUUUCUGGUCUGUAACUGACGCUGAUGUGCGAAAGCGUGGGGAUCAAACAGGAUUAGAUACCCUGGUAGUCCACGCCGUAAACGAUGAGUGCUAAGUGUUAGGGGGUUUCCGCCCCUUAGUGCUGCAGCUAACGCAUUAAGCACUCCGCCUGGGGAGUACGACCGCAAGGUUGAAACUCAAAUGAAUUGACGGGG
Molecule: ribosomal RNA, 930 nt
Filed under: uncultured Staphylococcus sp.
Lineage: Bacteria; Bacillati; Bacillota; Bacilli; Caryophanales; Staphylococcaceae
Description: bacterial SSU rRNA
Rfam family: Bacterial small subunit ribosomal RNA
Source: RNAcentral